UUUUAUGGAGAGUUUGAUCCUGGCUCAGGAUAAACGCUGGCGGCGUGCCUAAUACAUGCAAGUCGAGCGAACGGACGAGAAGCUUGCUUCUCUGAUGUUAGCGGCGGACGGGUGAGUAACACGUGGAUAACCUACCUAUAAGACUGGGAUAACUUCGGGAAACCGGAGCUAAUACCGGAUAAUAUUUUGAACCGCAUGGUUCAAAAGUGAAAGACGGUCUUGCUGUCACUUAUAGAUGGAUCCGCGCUGCAUUAGCUAGUUGGUAAGGUAACGGCUUACCAAGGCAACGAUGCAUAGCCGACCUGAGAGGGUGAUCGGCCACACUGGAACUGAGACACGGUCCAGACUCCUACGGGAGGCAGCAGUAGGGAAUCUUCCGCAAUGGGCGAAAGCCUGACGGAGCAACGCCGCGUGAGUGAUGAAGGUCUUCGGAUCGUAAAACUCUGUUAUUAGGGAAGAACAUAUGUGUAAGUAACUGUGCACAUC
This 486-nucleotide ribosomal RNA is filed under the name Staphylococcus aureus. RNAcentral describes it as "bacterial SSU rRNA". It matches the Rfam family "Bacterial small subunit ribosomal RNA", at positions 1 to 468 of the family's 1533-position model. Lineage: Bacteria; Bacillati; Bacillota; Bacilli; Caryophanales; Staphylococcaceae. The record is from RNAcentral.